GCUCAGGGGUGCAGCACAUGCUUAGUAUGCAUGAGGCUCUGGGUUCAACUCCCAG
This 55-nucleotide transfer RNA is filed under the name Cavia porcellus (domestic guinea pig). It matches the Rfam family "tRNA", at positions 10 to 63 of the family's 71-position model. Rfam says of the family: Transfer RNA (tRNA) molecules are approximately 80 nucleotides in length. Lineage: Eukaryota; Metazoa; Chordata; Mammalia; Rodentia; Caviidae. The record is from Rfam by way of RNAcentral.